CUUAGUGGCGGACGGGUGAGUAACGCGUGGGUAACCUGCCUUGCACUGGGGGAUAACACUUAGAAAUAGGUGCUAAUACCGCAUAAGCGCACGGUCCUGCAUGGGACAGUGUGAAAAACUCCGGUGGUGCAAGAUGGACCCGCGUCUGAUUAGCUGGUUGGCGGGGUAAAGGCCCACCAAGGUGACGAUCAGUAGCCGGCCUGAGAGGGUGAACGGCCACAUUGGGACUGAGACACGGCCCAAACUCCUACGGGAGGCAGCAG
This 263-nucleotide ribosomal RNA is filed under the name uncultured bacterium. RNAcentral's name for it is "partial 16S ribosomal RNA". It matches the Rfam family "Bacterial small subunit ribosomal RNA", at positions 91 to 354 of the family's 1533-position model. The record is from RNAcentral.